UACAGAGGUCCCAAGCGUUGUUCGGAUUCACUGGGCGUAAAGGGCGCGUAGGUGGUUGGGCAAGUCUGAUGUGAAAUCUCCGGGCUUAACCCGGAAAUGGCAUUGGAAACUGCCCGGCUAGAGUGUUGGAGGGGGGACUGGAAUUCUCGGUGUAGCAGUGAAAUGCGUAGAUAUCGAGAGGAACACCAGUGGCGAAGGCGAGUCCCUGGACAACUACUGACACUGAGGCACGAAAGCUAGGGGAGCAAACAGG
Molecule: ribosomal RNA, 253 nt
Filed under: uncultured bacterium
Lineage: Bacteria
Description: partial 16S ribosomal RNA
Rfam family: Bacterial small subunit ribosomal RNA
Source: RNAcentral